AAGUUCAAUAGAUCAACGUUUCAACCUAUUCAGGUCUUGAUCUUGAUAAAGACCUGAAUAGGUCGAAACGUUGAUCUAUUGAACUUUGAAUUUAU
Molecule: microRNA precursor, 95 nt
Filed under: Pelobates cultripes (western spadefoot toad)
Lineage: Eukaryota; Metazoa; Chordata; Amphibia; Anura; Pelobatidae
Source: RNAcentral